This 199-nucleotide long non-coding RNA is filed under the name Chinchilla lanigera (long-tailed chinchilla). RNAcentral describes it as "lncRNA (ENSCLAG00000025250.1)". Lineage: Eukaryota; Metazoa; Chordata; Mammalia; Rodentia; Chinchillidae. The record is from RNAcentral.
CAGCACUUGUCGCGUGUCUGUGGCUGCAGGAAGGUCUGUCCGUCUCCCUCACAGAGGGGCGGAGCAGGGCGUUUCCCUUCUCUGACUCCCGCGAUUCCCCUGUCCUUUAACCCAUCCUUACAAGUUCUAAGGAUCCAUCUCACAGGUAUAGAGUUUAUUUAGGCAGUUUAGUCUGGUUGCCCAGGUGACUGGGAAUGGC